UACGUAGGGUGCGAGCGUUAAUCGGAAUUACUGGGCGUAAAUCGUGCGCAGGCGGCUUUGCAAGACAGAUGUGAAAUCCCCGGGCUUAACCUGGGAACUGCAUUUGUGACUGCAUGGCUGGAGUGCGGCAGAGGGGGAUGGAAUUCCGCGUGUAGCAGUGAAAUGCGUAGAUAUGCGGAGGAACACCGAUGGCGAAGGCAAUCCCCUGGGCCUGCACUGACGCUCAUGCACGAAAGCGUGGGGAGCAAACAGG
RNAcentral lists this ribosomal RNA (253 nucleotides) under uncultured bacterium. RNAcentral describes it as "partial 16S ribosomal RNA". It matches the Rfam family "Bacterial small subunit ribosomal RNA", at positions 524 to 776 of the family's 1533-position model. The record is from RNAcentral.